CCUACGGGAGGCAGCAGUAGGGAAUCUUCCGCAAUGGACGAAAGUCUGACGGAGCAACGCCGCGUGAGUGAAGAAGGCCUUCGGGUUGUAAAGCUCUUUCGGACGGAACGAAAUGGUUACGGUCAAUACCCGUGACUGAUGACGGUACCGUAAGAAGAAGCACCGGCUAACUACGUGCCAGCAGCCGCGGUAAUACGUAGGGUGCGAGCGUUAAUCGGAAUUACUGGGCGUAAAGCGUGCGCAGGCGGUUUCGUAAGCUGGAGGUGAAAUCCUACAGCUUAACUGUAGAACUGCCUCCGAUACUGUAUAUCUUGAAUAUAGGAGAGGGUAAUGGAAUUCCACGUGUAGCGGUGAAAUGCGUAGAGAUGUGGAGGAACACCAGUGGCGAAGGCGGCUCUCUGGUCUGUAACUGACGCUGAGGCGCGAAAGCGUGGGGAGCGAACAGAAUUAGAUACCCUGGUAGUCCACGCCGUAAACGAUGAGUGCUAAGUGUUAGAGGGUUUCCGCCCUUUAGUGCUGCAGCAAACGCAUUAAGCACUCCGCCUGGGGAGUACGGCCGCAAGGCUGAAACUCAAAGGAAUUGACGG
Molecule: ribosomal RNA, 587 nt
Filed under: uncultured bacterium
Lineage: Bacteria
Description: bacterial SSU rRNA
Rfam family: Bacterial small subunit ribosomal RNA
Source: RNAcentral